Molecule: long non-coding RNA, 1972 nt
Organism: Limulus polyphemus (Atlantic horseshoe crab)
Lineage: Eukaryota; Metazoa; Arthropoda; Merostomata; Xiphosura; Limulidae
Exons: 2
Source: RefSeq, a predicted model, not a curated record
UAUGUAUAUUAAGAAAAAAUAAUUCUGCAUGAAUACAUUUAUCUGAUGCCUUUAUAAAGAGUGAUUACCCCAAGUAUGUAUAUUAAGAAAAAAUAAUUCUGCAUGAAUACAUUUAUCUGAUGCCUUUAUAAAGAGUGAUUACCCCAAUAUGUAUAUUUAAUUAGAAGAAAACAAAGCAAUAGAUUUAAAAAAGUAUAACAUUUUUACCUUACAAUUUAUAAAUAUAUUUGUCCUUGUAAAAGAAUAUAGAAAAACAUUUGUAGCAUUUAAAUGUGUCUUACCACAAAAAAACGUUAAAACCAACUGUAUUUAAAUUUACCUGAUUAACUUUUGGAAUUACAGCAACCUAUUUUUAAGGUUGAUGCCAUAAUAGUUUUUAUAUUAAAACAAAAACCUUCAUGAGAAUUUAAAAUUGCUUUAGAUUGGUAAAACUUUAGAGUUGUAAAAAAUAAAUAAAUGAAUUAGUGAAGUUGUAGUUCCUUAAUAUUGUAUAUAUUUGUAAAUGGGGCUAAAAUUUGCAUUAUUUAGUUGGCCAGCUAGGAGACUGUCUAAAAUAGCAAAAGAAUAAUCUAAUUUGCUUGGUAGGACCAAUUAAAAUUUUAAACAUUUUUCCUAUUUUACCUAUCUAAUUUGCUAAAAUCAUUUAGUUAGCACUUGCCAGUUAGGAGGUUGUCAAAAUCAAGAAAAAAAAAAUUAAUUUCUCCAACAGGGCCAAUUAGAAUUUUUCAUAUUUUACCCUUCUAAUGUACAUUUAUAUUUUUUUUCCUAAAAUCAUAAUUGUGUUUUGUCUCAUAGAAAUACCUUCUUUACAUUAAUCUCUCAAAUGGAACCUCUAGAUUUCUGGGAUCCCUCGUCUAUUUUUUGGACAUUAUGAAAAAUUCCUAUGAUGUCUGAAAUGAAAAGGGGGUUCCUGGAACAAGUGAAUGACAAGAACAAUCCAAACGAAGUGUGACAAAUAUUAACAUUUCAAUUGAAAAUACCUUUUGGACAGAAUUAAAAUAGGAGAAUAAAGUGGAAGACAAUGGCCAUAGCUACCAGCGAAGGAGAGUGUUUCCAAUGCCCUUUGUGUUUGAAGGUGUUUAAAACAACCAGUCAUUUAAGAAACCACUACUACUUCAUGCACAGAAAUGUAUCUUACAUUUGUGCUAUGUGUGCAAAGACAUUCAAACGGAAGGAACACCUACAAAAACAUGAACUCAGAUGCUGGAGCUCUCUUGCACGCUCUGCUGUUUGACUAGCUGUUGAUAUUUCACAAACGUACUUGAAGAUUUGUUAUAUUGUUAAUAUAUUAUUUUCGCUUGGGAUCAUUUGUACAAGUUUAUAAAACUACAAUCCAUUUGAGAAUGGAACAAAAAAUAGUAAUAUUUACAGUACUUUAUGAGCAAAUUUUUAUCACAUAAUUAAAUUGGUUCUUAGUAAAAGUGUCAUACACAACUAGUUAAUAAAUGAAAGACUAGCCCAAACUAUGCUCAGUCAUUACAGGUAGUGUGAUUUAAAUUAUUUCACAGUUUCUGUUGUGAAAAAUUGAUAGAUACAAGGGAUUUGUAUGCAUUGUUCAUGAGGUUGAGUCACAUAUGUGUUGUAGCUGAGUUUAAUAUUUUUCUUUUUUGAAUAUACAGUAACCAUAUGAGCAGGGUAAAAAAAAAGUGUCAAAAGUUCUGCAAUAGAAAAUGAAUUGAAAUAUCACAGAAAGAGUAUCAGGUAACCAUAGAUGUCAAAAUUUCAUUGUAUAUUUCCCUGUACUGGCAUUUUGUGCAUCAAUUAGCUUCUGUUAAAAGAUUUUUUCCACAUUGUUGAGUAAUAUAAUAAAUGUAAAUUCUUGUUUUAAAAAAUGGCACAAAUUUAGAUAUUACACAGUGUGUAUGUACUGAUCCAAGUGUAUCUUACUUGUUUGUACUUGGUUAGCUGUAUAACAAUGGUAUUUACUAUAGUGGAGUUUAUUUUUUCAGUAAUAAAGUUUUUAUAGAGCUUG